AUUCUAGGUGCUUUCUCGACACGUCGAAGAAGCCACUCUGAAUGUGGUGGAUGUGGGCCAUGCUGGUUCCCGGCUCAGCUCCAGCGGGUCUCCGGCUGGAGUAAUCAUUGCGUCCAAUCAAUUUUAGUGGGUGCAGAAAAUGUUCACUCCCAAGCAGGUUUUCAGCUGGACUCCCGAGGCCGAAGCCGCUUUCAGCAGGCUGAAGAGCCUGUUCUCGUCGUCGCCCAUCCUCGCGCAACUCGACCCCAGUUGGCAGUUUGUGGUGGAGGUGGAUGCCCCGGAUCCUGGUGGAGGUCCACCGAACCGGCUGUUCGUCCUGGAGGCGGUGCGGUCUGAUGUCCUGCAACGGGCCCACGCCUCAAAGUUGACCUGCCACCCGGGGGUCAAUCACCCACCUGCCGUGGAGUUCCGUGGUCUCAGCGUCCACCGGACUGUCUCCCUUCAUGGCAUCCCUGGGGUACCAGCCUCUGUUAUUUGAGAUCCAGGAGGACGAAGUAGCGGUACCCUCGGUACAGGCCAGCAUGCGCCGUUGCAGGAGGGUGUGGAGGCAAGUCCGUGCUGCACUCCUGCGUCUCAGAAGCUGGCUCCUCGCUUCGUGGGGCCCUCUGAGGUGGAGCGGAUGGGGAAAGCUGCAGCCGAUUCAUCCUUGACGACGGCCUCCUCCGCAACUUCUACCACACCCAGACCUUGUGAACCUUGUGUUUUGAAUAAAGGCACUUUUAGUUCAUUUUUCCCCACUGUGGGUUGCCUGCUUUUGGGUCCUGAGACAACCAGUUCUAACAAAUGACAUAUUUAGUCAUAUUUCUUGUCCUGAUUCUAAUCCUUCUCCAUCUUCUCAUAAUAGAGUAAAUAUGCUGUUUUUUGCCGCUGCUGGCACACGUGGUUAAAAUUUGUUUCUGUGACAACGUCGUCAUCGUAUGUCACCCAGCAGGCAUUCCCAUCCCCUUGGCUUGCAUUUCGAUAAACUCCAUCACAAAUGUAAUGGCCUGUGAAGGAAGGAACUGCUUUGUUAGUGGUCAAACUAGAAGGUUGGUUUUCAACGCAAUACUGACAGCGAAACACUGACCGCUGGUAGUGCAACUCCCCAAAUAGUUGACGAUGCUCUUCAGAGUAUAUUUUGUCUACAGAAAAUAAAAAGAACAAGCCAUUAGCUCCACUCUUUGAGCCAUUUCAGACUGAUGACUGCUUAAAGGUUUAUCAAGGGUUUACCUUCUCACUGCUCUGAUUUGUAUGGAGCAGCAGCUCCCUGGAUAAACAUGUGGCUUUGUGUAUUUUUUGCGCAGCAAAGUAGGACCACUUAAAUCUCAAUAGGUGGAUGAUCAGCACACUAUCGAGAAGAAAAGGGGAGGGAAGAGGAGAUGUAGAGACAGUUAGGGCCUUUAGAAGGCAGCAGAUGUGAGGAUGCUGAGAUGGCUGGUUCUCACUUUGGCAGAGUGAAGAAGGAUCUUUGCUCUGUCGUCUGGGAGGCGCCACAGUGACAUUUGUAAUCCAGCAGUUGCUCCUGCAGAAUCAACAACAGUCGUGAGGUUCAACAGCUCCUCCAUCAUUCACACAUGAACACCAAACAUGUGUCCCUUACUUUCAGGUACAGCUGUAUUCCUUGCAUGAUGGUGUCCUCAGGCGCCACGGACAGGUUCAAACACUCCUCCAUAUUUUCACGUUCAUGGCCACAACUGUAAUUCAAGAGAGGAUUCAAGUAACUAAGGAUUCAACUAAACAAGUUCAACACCUAUGCAGGAGCAGAAGGUUUCCAGGUAUAUUCCCACCUGUGGCACAGCAUGGUGCUCAACAUCUGGAAGCUGAUGUGAGCCUCCACAGGGCAGGUGUAGCUCUGCUGUUUCUCAUUUGCCAAUGACCUGAUCUCUGCAGAGAUGGAGCUCAGCUGUUCCAGGAUGGUGUUCAAAAAUUCGUGGGCAUCCUGCAGACAGACCAAAGUGUCUAGUCCAGAAAAGAUCAGGAUGAUGCUCUUGAAAAUAAAAGAAUGAUUACUUGUUGGGCAUCAUUUCUAAAUUCUGGAUGAUGCAGGGCAAUGGUCCGCAGGAAUUUAAAGAGGGUGGACUUCUCUUGCAUUCUGUUUUUAGUCGCGAAGCCAUUGUUGAUGUCACUGAGCAACCUGGAGAAAGGAGAAAGCAGAUGUUUUUCAUUCAUUGCAUUAAUGCCAUAGAAUAAUGGGGGCACGUGAGCUUGUGUUGUACUUGAAAAGCAGAGCUUUUGGGUGCGAAAGCCACUGUUGACUCUGUUUGUUGAGCUCCUUCACAAAAGGCAUGGGGGUCAGGAGGCUCUGGAGAACAGAGUUCAUAUAGCAGGUCUGGGACAGGUUGGGGAGCCUGAAACACAAGAAAAACUGAGCAAAGUGUUGUUGUUGAUGAUGAUAUGCAAAAUUUCUUACCCAUAACAGGCCAGUUCAUCAGAUGUAAGGGUUCUCCCACUUUCCAUUCUGCUUCUCGAGACCACAUAGUUUAAGGCCUCCAGGAAUCUAUUCUUUGUAGCACUAGGCUGUGACGUCACAGCCAAAACAGCCGCCAGAUGUGAAGAAAGCGAGUCUUCCUCAUUCUUCUCCUCCAGGCUCUGUUAGUUAAAGGCAAAGCAAAAUCAGCUCAAUCUAUUAAAAAUGUACCUGGUGACCUGGGUGCCACUGACACAGGACGAAUAUAUCUCUGGGUCUUCUUCAUCUGUAGACCCCAGACUCUGUUAAGAAUAAAGCAACAUCAGCUCAAUCUAGAAAAACAAAGUCAAAAAUACAUCAAUGUUAAUUAUAGAAAGAGCAUUUUUACAGCUUGUUCGACAUCACUGCUGAAUGUGGAGGAACAGGGGCUGUCCACCAGACACGUGUCCACUUCUCCGGCCAAUGCAGGACACUUUGGUCUCUGUUGGAAGAGUAGACAGGGUCCAUGUGAAACAUCGGGAACUGGUGUUAAAUUUUCUCUAUCACAAGAGAAAAAUGUACCUGAGCCUGGCUGGUGGACUCUUGCCGAGGGCUCUUCAGCCAGCUCCUCCUGUUCGGUGUCACUGACACAGGAAGAAUGUAUCUCUGGGUCUUCUUCAUCUGUAGACCCCAGGCUCCGUUAAGAAUAAAGCAACAUCAGCUCAAUCACGUUAAACAAAGUUAAAAAUAUAUCAAUGUUAAGUUUAGAAGAAGCAUUUUUAUAGCUUGUUCAAUGUCGCUGCUGGAUGUGGAGGAACAGGGACUGUCUACUGGACACGUGUCUUCUCCUCCUUCCCCUGCAGGACACUUUGGGCUCUGUUUGUUGGAAGAGGAGACAGGGUCCAUGUGAAACAUAACUACCUCAGAAUGUCCCACAAACAUUCUCUCUCGGUGGUACCCAUUUUCCAUCAGCCACAGAGAAAUCCAUGAAGAGCCUCAGGAAAAACCUUUUACUGCUCCCUAAAGGGUGCCCCUUCCAUCAGGGAGGCCAACGAUCUGCUGACUUCAGCCCACACGUAAAUCUUUGGAAAAAUCAAGGCAAGAUUACACCAACAUGGUGUCUUGCCCAGGAUUCUGUGGCCAAUGCUAGUAUUACAAUUUCCAAUUUCCACUUCUGAAGGACGUGAGAGGACGGUCAGCACCCACCUUCGGCAUUGGUUGGCUAUACCUCAUAGAUUAAGCAGCAUCUGCCUCUACAGUACAAGCACUAGCUCACACUCCUGAGGAGUUCACGGUGACCAAAGCGAGGUAGGCGAGGGAAUCCAAGGAUCCAUAAAUAUCUUUUUCUGUCAAGGAGGGCCAUGACAUUGCAUCGAAUUCCUCAUUCAGCUUGUCUAUGAUGUCAAAGGAAGAGGAACUCUGGAGCACAUCCUCAGCAGCUGUCCUAAAGCUGCUAUCGCUAGCCCCAGACUGAAAGCCCAAACAAGUCUCCUAGGAACAGCAAAACACUGGCAGCUAAAGGUGGCCCGAGGAAAGCAAGCAUCUCAAUCUGCUCCAUAAGCAAGGCCAUUUAGUAGACCUCUUGCUCUCCCUUACUCAUCAAAUUCCACGUACCUACCGGCAGCAUAAUUUACUUAAUAUUAUGUAUUUCUGUAUGUAUUCUCUAUGAUCUAUGCCUAUUCUCUCCUCUCCUCUCCUCACCCUUCUCCUCUCUUUCUACCCAGCCGGCCAUUAGCAGGAGGGUCCCCCUACAUGAGCCUGGUCCUGCUCAAGGUUUCUUCCUGUUAAAGGGGAGUUUUUCCUUGCCACUUGUUUGGGGUCAGGCCCUGGGAUUCUGUAAAGCGCCUAGAAACAGUUUUGAUUGUAAAAGACGCUAUAUAAAUAAAAAUUGAUUGAUUGAUUGAUUGUAAUUGUAAUUUAAGUUACAGAAGUACACAAACUUGCUGCCAGAUUGUUGUUGCCUUAAAUACGAAUUUCCGGCACUCCUUCCCGGGCUGAUUUCCCAAUAAUGACCUUUAGUCUGACUAUGUUUGUCUGCUCCCUGCCUGCUUCCAUUGUGCUUUGAGCCCCUCCUUGGACUGUUUAUAACCCGUCGCAGGUGUCACCUACGUUUUGUUGAGUGGUCAAAGUGGACGUUUUGGGACAAAAUGACACAUCGUCCAUCUGUGGGUCAACUUUAAAUUUCUGUCCCUUCUCUCCACCUCAGCCAGCUGCUCUUCAUACAUUCACAAGGCCAACCCAAGACUUGGAAACCCUUCAACUCAGCAAGGUUAGCCUUCCCAAUACACUGCCACGGAGGAACUAUUAACAAGUCCGGUUUUUCUUAUGCACUUGAAGAAACCCAGUAAGGUAGUUGACUUUUUCCUUUAAAAGACUAAAGUAUCAAAAUAUCUUGUAAGAUUGGAGUAAAAGCUGAAUUGUACCUUCAGUGUUUGUUUCAUCCAAUAUUU
RNAcentral lists this long non-coding RNA (4815 nucleotides) under Takifugu rubripes (torafugu). RNAcentral describes it as "lncRNA (ENSTRUG00000026853.1)". The record is from RNAcentral. Lineage: Eukaryota; Metazoa; Chordata; Actinopteri; Tetraodontiformes; Tetraodontidae.